GAUGAACGCUGGCGGCGUGCCUAAUACAUGCAAGUCGAGCGAACAGACGAGGAGCUUGCUCCUCUGACGUUAGCGGCGGACGGGUGAGUAACACGUGGAUAACCUACCUAUAAGACUGGGAUAACUUCGGGAAACCGGAGCUAAUACCGGAUAAUUUAUUGAACCGCAUGGUUCAAUAGUGAAAGACGGUUUUGCUGUCACUUAUAGAUGGAUCCGCGCCGCAUUAGCUAGUUGGUAAGGUAACGGCUUACCAAGUUAACGAUGCGUAGCCGACCUGAGAGAGUGAUCGCCCAAGCUGGAACUUGGACGCGCUCCUGACGCCUACGGGGGGCAGCAGUAUGGAAUCUUCCGGAAUGGGCGAAAGCCUGACGGAUCAACGCCGCGUGAGUGAUGAAGGUCUUCGUCUCGUAAAACUCUGUUAUUAGGGAAGAACAAAUGUGUAAGUAACUAUGCACGUCUUGACGGUACCUAAUCAGAAAGCCACGGCUAACUACGUG
This 497-nucleotide ribosomal RNA is filed under the name uncultured bacterium. RNAcentral's name for it is "partial 16S ribosomal RNA". It matches the Rfam family "Bacterial small subunit ribosomal RNA", at positions 28 to 507 of the family's 1533-position model. The record is from RNAcentral.